This 495-nucleotide ribosomal RNA is filed under the name uncultured bacterium. RNAcentral describes it as "partial 16S ribosomal RNA". It matches the Rfam family "Bacterial small subunit ribosomal RNA", at positions 28 to 507 of the family's 1533-position model. The record is from RNAcentral.
GACGAACGCUGGCGGCGUGCCUAAUACAUGCAAGUAGAACGCUGAAGGAGGAGCUUGCUUCUCUGGAUGAGUUGCGAACGGGUGAGUAACGCGUAGGUAACCUGCCUGGUAGCGGGGGAUAACUAUUGGAAACGAUAGCUAAUACCGCAUAAUAGUAGAUGUUGCAUGACAUUUGCUUAAAAGGUGCAAUUGCAUCACUACCAGAUGGACCUGCGUUGUAUUAGCUAGUUGGUGGGGUAACGGCUCACCAAGGCGACGAUACAUAGCCGACCUGAGAGGGUGAUCGGCCACACUGGGAGUGAGACACGGCCCAGACUCCUACGGGAGGCAGCAGUAGGGAAUCUUCGGCAAUGGACGGAAGUCUGACCGAGCAACGCCGCGUGAGUGAAGAAGGUUUUCGGAUCGUAAAGCUCUGUUGUAAGAGAAGAACGAGUGUGAGAGUGGAAAGUUCACACUGUGACGGUAUCUUACCAGAAAGGGACGGCUAACUACGUG